GACGAACGCUGGCGGCGUGCCUAAUACAUGCAAGUAGAACGCUGAAGAGAGGAGCUUGCUCUUCUUGGAUGAGUUGCGAACGGGUGAGUAACGCGUAGGUAACCUGCCUUGUAGCGGGGGAUAACUAUUGGAAACGAUAGCUAAUACCGCAUAACAAUGGAUGACACAUGUCAUUUAUUUGAAAGGGGCAAUUGCUCCACUACAAGAUGGACCUGCGUUGUAUUAGCUAGUAGGUGAGGUAACGGCUCACCUAGGCGACGAUACAUAGCCGACCUGAGAGGGUGAUCGGCCACACUGGGACUGAGACACGGCCCAGACUCCUACGGGAGGCAGCAGUAGGGAAUCUUCGGCAAAGGGGGCAACCCUGACCGAGCAACGCCGCGUGAGUGAAGAAGGUUUUCGGAUCGUAAAGCUCUGUUGUAAGUCAAGAACGAGUGUGAGAGUGGAAAGUUCACACUGUGACGGUAGCUUACCAGAAAGGGACGGCUAACUACGU
Molecule: ribosomal RNA, 496 nt
Filed under: uncultured bacterium
Lineage: Bacteria
Description: partial 16S ribosomal RNA
Rfam family: Bacterial small subunit ribosomal RNA
Source: RNAcentral